GGGCGUGUGGUGCAGAGGUUAGCAUACUUGCUUUGGGAAAACCUCUUUGCAAGUGGUCCCAGGUUCGAACCCUGGCUCGCCCC
Parachaetomium inaequale is the source of this 83-nucleotide non-coding RNA. NCBI's taxonomy places the organism in Eukaryota, Fungi, Ascomycota, Sordariomycetes, Sordariales, Chaetomiaceae. The record is from the annotation of a GenBank genome assembly.